CCAAUAGCGUAUAUUAAAGUUGUUGCAGUUAAAAAGCUCGUAGUUGAAUUUCGGGACCAGUAUGUCGGUCGUGCUUCGGUACGUACUUGCAUUAUUGGUUUCUCCCUUCUGAAGAACCAUGAUGUCAUUAAUUUGGUGUCAUGGGGAAUCAGGACUGUUACUUUGAAAAAAUUAGAGUGUUUAAAGCAGGCUCGCGCUUGAAUACAUUAGCAUGGAAUAAUGAGAUAGGACGUUUGAUUCUAUUUUGUUGGUUUCUAGGAUCGACGUAAUGAUUAAUAGGGAUAGUUGGGGGCAUUAGUAUUCAAUUGUCAGAGGUGAAAUUCUUGGAUUUAUUGAAGACUAACUACUGCGAAAGCAUUUGCCAAGGAUGUUUUCAUUAAUCAAGAACGAAAGUUAGGGGAUCGAAGACGAUCAGAUACCGUCGUAGUCUUAACCAUAAACUAUGCCGACUAGGGAUCGGAUGAUGUUAAUUUUUUAAUGACUCAUUCGGCGCCUUACG
RNAcentral lists this ribosomal RNA (499 nucleotides) under uncultured Glomeromycotina. RNAcentral describes it as "partial small subunit ribosomal RNA". It matches the Rfam family "Eukaryotic small subunit ribosomal RNA", at positions 591 to 1092 of the family's 1831-position model. Lineage: Eukaryota; Fungi; Glomeromycota. The record is from RNAcentral.